RNAcentral lists this long non-coding RNA (403 nucleotides) under Ananas comosus (pineapple). RNAcentral describes it as "long non-coding RNA (ACOM_LNC026693)". The record is from RNAcentral. Lineage: Eukaryota; Viridiplantae; Streptophyta; Magnoliopsida; Poales; Bromeliaceae.
AAAGAAAUUUUAAUAUUUCAGUUUCGACCCCGUUUGGUCACCGAAAGCUGUACCGAACUAUAAUCUUUAUCGGAUAGCUGUCGGAUUUUAUUUUUCACCUUCCGGGUGUCAGAAUGACAUGAAACUUUAAAUCUAGCCUCAUAAAAAUAAUUCUGGCUUAUCCUCCAAUUUUCAUAAUUUUCUGACACUAUGCAUUUUCUGCUAAUUUAUCUGUCCCGUUUCCAACAGAAAAUUCUAAAUCUUCUGUUUUCAUUCCGAUUUCAGCACAAGUCACUUCUGACUUAUGUUUUACUUUUCUAAAUUCAAUAAAAAUAGUUUCUCACACUAUUUUUUAUUUAUUUUUAUUUUUAUAUCAAAAUCUGGUAUGUUACACCACAUCGCCGUCCUAGCCCCCACUAUGAAA